Molecule: ribosomal RNA, 498 nt
Filed under: uncultured bacterium
Lineage: Bacteria
Description: bacterial SSU rRNA
Rfam family: Bacterial small subunit ribosomal RNA
Source: RNAcentral
ACUCAAAGGAAUUGACGGGGGCCCGCACAAGCGGAGGAGCAUGUGGUUUAAUUCGAUGAUACGCGAGGAACCUUACCUGGGCUUAAAUGGGAAAAGACAGCCGCCGAAAGGUGGUCUUCCGCAAGGACUUUUUUCAAGGUGCUGCAUGGCUGUCGUCAGCUCGUGCCGUGAGGUGUUGGGUUAAGUCCCGUAACGAGCGCAACCCCUAUCUUUAGUUGCCAUCAGGUAAUGCUGGGAACUCUAAAGAAACUGCCUACGCAAGUAGUGAGGAAGGUGGGGAUGACGUCAAGUCAGCACGGCCCUUACGUCCAGGGCUACACACGUGCUACAAUGGCAAGUACAAAGGGUUGCUACCUGGUGACAGGAUGCUAAUCUCUAAAGCUUGUCUCAGUUCGGAUCGAAGUCUGCAACUCGACUUCGUGAAGUUGGAUUCGCUAGUAAUCGUAUAUCAGCAAUGAUACGGUGAAUACGUUCCCGGGCCUUGUACACACCGCCCGU